RNAcentral lists this ribosomal RNA (254 nucleotides) under uncultured bacterium. Its description in RNAcentral is "partial 16S ribosomal RNA". It matches the Rfam family "Bacterial small subunit ribosomal RNA", at positions 524 to 776 of the family's 1533-position model. The record is from RNAcentral.
UACGUAGGGUGCAAGCGUUUAAUCGGAAUUACUGGGCGUAAAGCGUGCGCAGGCGGUUCGCUAAGACAGAUGUGAAAUCCCCGGGCUUAACCUGGGAACUGCAUUUGUGACUGGCGGGCUAGAGUAUGGCAGAGGGGGGUAGAAUUCCACGUGUAGCAGUGAAAUGCGUAGAGAUGUGGAGGAAUACCGAUGGCGAAGGCAGCCCCCUGGGCCAAUACUGACGCUCAUGCACGAAAGCGUGGGGAGCAAACAGG